UUCCACAGCCAAACCACCUGAACACGCCCAAUCUCGUCUGAUCUUGGAAGCUAAGCAGGGUCGGGCCUGGUUACUACUUGGAUGGGAGACCACUUGAGAAUACAGGUGCUGGGGAAA
RNAcentral lists this ribosomal RNA (117 nucleotides) under Dasypus novemcinctus (nine-banded armadillo). Lineage: Eukaryota; Metazoa; Chordata; Mammalia; Cingulata; Dasypodidae. The record is from RNAcentral.